GCUGUGAUGGCCGACGGGUGAAGGCGUUGGACUCGCAAUCCAAUAGGGAUUCUCUGCGCAGGGUCGAAUCCUGCUCACAGCG
This 82-nucleotide transfer RNA is filed under the name Manacus vitellinus (golden-collared manakin). It matches the Rfam family "tRNA". From Rfam's summary of the family: Transfer RNA (tRNA) molecules are approximately 80 nucleotides in length. Their secondary structure includes four short double-helical elements and three loops (D, anti-codon, and T loops). The record is from Rfam by way of RNAcentral. Lineage: Eukaryota; Metazoa; Chordata; Aves; Passeriformes; Pipridae.